CGGAACGAUGGAGUGCUUGCACUCCAGGCGUCGAGCGGCGGACGGGUGAGUAACGCGUGAGAAUCUGCCCAUUAGUGGGGGAUAACCCGGGGAAACUCGGGCUAAUACCGCAUACGUCCUACGGGACAAAGCAGGGGACCUUUUGGCCUUGCGCUGAUGGAUGAGCUCGCGUCGGAUUAGCUUGUUGGUGAGGUAAAGGCUCACCAAGGCGACGAUCCGUAGCUGGUCUGAGAGGAUGAUCAGCCACACCGGGACUGAGACACGGCCCGGACUCCUACGGGAGGCAGCAGUGGGGAAUCUUGGACAAUGGGGGCAACCCUGAUCCAGCCAUGCCGCGUGUGUGAAGAAGGCCUUCGGGUUGUAAAGCACUUUCAGCAGGGAGGAAGGCUUUGGGUUAAUACCCUGGAGUACUUGACGUUACCUGCAGAAGAAGCACCGGCUAAUUUCGUGCCAGCAGCCGCGGUAAUACGAAAGGUGCAAGCGUUAAUCGGAAUUACUGGGCGUAAAGCGCGCGUAGGCGGUGUGUUAAGUCGGAUGUGAAAGCCCAGGGCUCAACCUUGGAAUUGCAUCCGAUACUGGCACGCUAGAGUGCAGUAGAGGGAGGUGGAAUUUCCGGGUGUAGCGGUGAAAUGCGUAGAGAUCGGAAGGGAACACCAGUGGCGAAAGGCGGCCUCCUGGACUGACACUGACGCUGAGGUGCGAAAGCGUGGGGAGCAAACAGGAUUAGAUACCCUGGUAGUCCACGCCGUAAACGAUGUCUACUAGCCGUCGGGGUCGUUAGUGACUUUGGUGGCGCAGCUAACGCGAUAAGUAGACCGCCUGGGGAGUACGGCCGCAAGGUUAAAACUCAAAUGAAUUGACGGGGGCCCGCACAAGCGGUGGAGCAUGUGGUUUAAUUCGAUGCAACGCGAAGAACCUUACCAGGUCUUGACAUCCUCGGAACUUGGCAGAGAUGCCUUGGUGCCUUCGGGAGCCGAGUGACAGGUGCUGCAUGGCCGUCGUCAGCUCGUGUCGUGAGAUGUUGGGUUAAGUCCCGUAACGAGCGCAACCCUUGUCCUUAGUUGCCAGCACUUCGGGUGGGAACUCUAGGGAGACUGCCGGUGACAAACCGGAGGAAGGUGGGGACGACGUCAGGUCAUCAUGGCCCUUACGACCUGGGCUACACACGUGCUACAAUGGCUGGUACAGAGGGUUGCUAAGUCGCGAGGCGGAGCUAAUCCCUUAAAGCCAGUCGUAGUCCGGAUCGGAGUCUGCAACUCGACUCCGUGAAGUCGGAAUCGCUUGUAAUCGCGGAUCAGAAUGCCGCGGUGAAUACGUUCCCGGGCCUUGUACACACCGCCCGUCACACCAUGGGAGUGGAUUGCACCAGAAG
Molecule: ribosomal RNA, 1372 nt
Filed under: Alloalcanivorax marinus
Lineage: Bacteria; Pseudomonadati; Pseudomonadota; Gammaproteobacteria; Oceanospirillales; Alcanivoracaceae
Description: bacterial SSU rRNA
Rfam family: Bacterial small subunit ribosomal RNA
Source: RNAcentral